CUUACCAUGCAGUCGACGGCAGCACGGGGGCAACCCUGGUGGCGAGUGGCGAACGGGUGAGUAAUACAUCGGAACGUGUCCUGUAGUGGGGGAUAGCCCGGCGAAAGCCGGAUUAAUACCGCAUACGCUCUACGGAGGAAAGGGGGGGAUCUCAGGACCUCCCGCUACAGGGGCGGCCGAUGGCAGAUUAGCUAGUUGGUGGGGUAAAGGCCUACCAAGGCGACGAUCUGUAGCUGGUCUGAGAGGACGACCAGCCACACUGGGACUGAGACACGGCCCAGACUCCUACGGGAGGCAGCAGUGGGGAAUUUUGGACAAUGGGCGAAAGCCUGAUCCAGCAAUGCCGCGUGUGUGAAGAAGGCCUUCGGGUUGUAAAGCACUUUUGUCCGGAAAGAAAACCUCCGCCCUAAUAUGGUGGGGGGAUGACGGUACCGGAAGAAUAAGCACCGGCUAACUACGUGCCAGCAGCCGCGGUAAUACGUAGGGUGCAAGCGUUAAUCGGAAUUACUGGGCGUAAAGCGUGCGCAGGCGGUCCGCUAAGACAGAUGUGAAAUCCCCGGGCUUAACCUGGGAACUGCAUUUGUGACUGGCGGGCUAGAGUAUGGCAGAGGGGGGUAGAAUUCCACGUGUAGCAGUGAAAUGCGUAGAGAUGUGGAGGAAUACCGAUGGCGAAGGCAGCCCCCUGGGCCAAUACUGACGCUCAUGCACGAAAGCGUGGGGAGCAAACAGGAUUAGAUACCCUGGUAGUCCACGCCCUAAACGAUGUCAACUAGUUGUUGGGGAUUCAUUUCCUUAGUAACGUAGCUAACGCGUGAAGUUGACCGCCUGGGGAGUACGGUCGCAAGAUUAAA
Molecule: ribosomal RNA, 851 nt
Filed under: Paraburkholderia sediminicola
Lineage: Bacteria; Pseudomonadati; Pseudomonadota; Betaproteobacteria; Burkholderiales; Burkholderiaceae
Description: bacterial SSU rRNA
Rfam family: Bacterial small subunit ribosomal RNA
Source: RNAcentral